Molecule: long non-coding RNA, 1001 nt
Filed under: Brassica napus (rape)
Lineage: Eukaryota; Viridiplantae; Streptophyta; Magnoliopsida; Brassicales; Brassicaceae
Description: long non-coding RNA (BNAP_LNC022072)
Source: RNAcentral
AAACCCUAAAUCUAGAUCUCAAGAUCGUGCGGUAACAGUGAGAAACCUAAUAAAAAUGCAAUUAAGAGAGAGAGAGAGAGAAACCUCGACGGUGAACGGACCCAUGGAGGUUUCAAGUGUAACCUCCGGUGGACUUCCUUCAGGUCUCGCCGUCAUUUUUUCGGAGAGAGAGAGCAGCGACUCGUGAGGAACCUAGUGAGAGAGUCAUAAGACGUUUACUCUAGUAAAGUCCUUAUCGGGUCGGAUCUGAUUCUUUCUCAGUCAUGGGUCGACCCGAGAUUUUCAAAACAGUUGGGCCUAGCGCAAGUCCAUUGUGUGUAUAUCUCACAAUGCCACAAAAUGAUGAUGCCAUGAGAGAAAACGGAUCAAAAUGUAUGCAAUUAAAAAAUUAGCUAGUUUUUAUUUGUGUUUCAGUUUGUUUGAAAAUGAAAAUUUAUUAAAAUAUUUUCGUACAAAUGAUGGUAUUUUCUUGUGAAAUCUCUAGCAUAUUUUUUUAAAUAAAAUAUGACAAGUUUUGUUCAAAAUAACUCACACCUUUUUAAUAAAUUACUUCGAAUAUAUAUAUAUAUAUAUAAAUAGAAGGGCAAAUCUCCAAAAUAGCACAUUUCUAAGUUUAUGUCACAAAAAUAGCCUUCAAAAACUAAAAUGACCAAAAUAUCAUUUUAUCUUUUGAAAAAUUUAAUUUUUUUUUAUUUUUCAAAAUUUGAAAUCUUAUCCCCAACUCUAAAUCCUAAAAUCUAAACUCUAAACCCUAAACUCUAAACCCUAAACCCUAAAUCCUAAACUCUACCCCUUAACUCUAAACCCUAAACCCUAAACCCUAAAUCCUAAACCCACCCCUUAACUCUAAACUCUAAUGUCUAAAUUAAUUUACCAUUGGAGUAUAAGUGUAUAUUUAUCUCUUUUGAUAAAACAAUUAGUGCUAUUUUGAUCAUUUUUAUUCUUAAAAACUAUAUUUGUGACAAAAACUUUUUUAGUGCUAUCCUAGUCAUUUUCUCUAA